UACGUAGGUGGCAAGCGUUGUCCGGAUUUAUUGGGUUUAAAGGGUGCGUAGGCGGCCCUGCAAGUCAGUGGUGAAAUACUCUAGCUUAACUAGAGGGGUGCCAAUGAUACUGCAGGGCUUGAGCACAGAUGAGGUAGGCGGAAUUGACGGUGUAGCGGUGAAAUGCAUAGAUAUCGUCAAGAACACCUAUAGCGAAGGCAGCUUACUGGGCUGUAACUGACGCUGAGGCACGAAAGUGUGGGGAUCAAACAGG
This 253-nucleotide ribosomal RNA is filed under the name uncultured bacterium. RNAcentral's name for it is "partial 16S ribosomal RNA". It matches the Rfam family "Bacterial small subunit ribosomal RNA", at positions 524 to 776 of the family's 1533-position model. The record is from RNAcentral.